UACGGAGGGUGCAAGCGUUAUCCGGAUUCACUGGGUUUAAAGGGUGCGUAGGUGGGCAGGUAAGUCAGUGGUGAGAUCUCCGGGCUUAACCCGGAAACUGCCAUUGAUACUAUUUGUCUUGAAUACUGUGGAGGUCAGCGGAAUAUGUCAUGUAGCGGUGAAAUGCUUAGAUAUGACAUAGAACACCAAUUGCGAAGGCAGCUGGCUACACAAAUAUUGACACUGAGGCACGAAAGCGUGGGGAUCAAACAGG
Molecule: ribosomal RNA, 253 nt
Filed under: uncultured bacterium
Lineage: Bacteria
Description: partial 16S ribosomal RNA
Rfam family: Bacterial small subunit ribosomal RNA
Source: RNAcentral